ACGAGUGGUGCAAGCGUUAUUCGGAAUUAUUGGGCGUAAAGGGCGUGUAGGUGGCACGUUAAGUCUGGUGUUAAAAUCUAUAGCUUAACCCGACAGAGGCAAUGGAAACUGGUGUACUUGAGUGCGUAAGAGGAAGCUGGAAUUCUAGGUGUAGCAGUAAAAUGCGUAGAUAUCGGGAAGAACACCGAUGGCGAAGGCGGCCUCUUAUACCAUACCUGACACUGAGGCGCGAAAGCGUGGGGAGCAAACAG
RNAcentral lists this ribosomal RNA (251 nucleotides) under uncultured prokaryote. RNAcentral describes it as "partial 16S rRNA". It matches the Rfam family "Bacterial small subunit ribosomal RNA", at positions 525 to 775 of the family's 1533-position model. The record is from RNAcentral.